RNAcentral lists this ribosomal RNA (253 nucleotides) under uncultured bacterium. Its description in RNAcentral is "partial 16S ribosomal RNA". It matches the Rfam family "Bacterial small subunit ribosomal RNA", at positions 524 to 776 of the family's 1533-position model. The record is from RNAcentral.
UACGAAGGGGACUAGCGUUGUUCGGAAUUACUGGGCGUAAAGCGCACGUAGGCGGAUUUGUUAGUCAGGGGUGAAAUCCCGGGGCUCAACCUCGGAACUGCCUUUGAUACUGCAAAUCUCGAGUCCGAUAGAGGUGGGUGGAAUUCCUAGUGUAGAGGUGAAAUUCGUAGAUAUUAGGAAGAACACCGGUGGCGAAGGCGGCCCACUGGAUCGGUACUGACGCUGAGGCACGAAAGCGUGGGGAGCAAACAGG